Molecule: transfer RNA, 62 nt
Filed under: Ictidomys tridecemlineatus (thirteen-lined ground squirrel)
Lineage: Eukaryota; Metazoa; Chordata; Mammalia; Rodentia; Sciuridae
Description: Spermophilus tridecemlineatus (thirteen-lined ground squirrel) tRNA
Rfam family: tRNA
About the family: Transfer RNA (tRNA) molecules are approximately 80 nucleotides in length. Their secondary structure includes four short double-helical elements and three loops (D, anti-codon, and T loops).
Source: Rfam by way of RNAcentral
GGGGGUGUAGCUCAGUGGUAGAGUGCUUGCCUAGCAUGCAUGAGGCCCUGUGUUCAACUCCA